GAAAUGCGAUAAGUAAUGUGAAUUGCAGAAUUCAGUGAAUCAUCGAAUCUUUGAACGCACCUUGCGCUCCCUGGUAUUCCGGGGAGCAUGCCUGUUUGAGUGUCAUUUAAUUCUCAACCUUUUCAGCUUUUACUAGCUGGCUAGGCUUGGAUGUGGGGGUUGCGGGCUUCUCAGAAGUCGGCUCUCCUUAAAUGCAUUAGCGAAACCUUUUGUUGACCAUCUCUGGUGUGAUAAUUAUCUAUGCCGUUGAGAAUCAGCUUUAUUAUGAGGUUCUGCUUCUAAUCGUCCUCCAGGGGACAACUCUUGACAUUUUGACCUCAAAUCAGACAAGACUACCCGCUGAACUUAA
RNAcentral lists this unclassified non-coding RNA (349 nucleotides) under uncultured Lyophyllum. RNAcentral's name for it is "sequence contains ITS1". The stretch from base 1 to 105 matches the Rfam family "5.8S ribosomal RNA", at positions 50 to 154 of the family's 154-position model. Lineage: Eukaryota; Fungi; Basidiomycota; Agaricomycetes; Agaricales; Lyophyllaceae. The record is from RNAcentral.